Long non-coding RNA from Passer domesticus (house sparrow), 2992 nucleotides. RefSeq lists it as uncharacterized. The record is from RefSeq and is a predicted model, not a curated record. NCBI's taxonomy places the organism in Eukaryota, Metazoa, Chordata, Aves, Passeriformes, Passeridae. The transcript is spliced from 3 exons.
GUAGGACUGAGAACACGUGAGCAGAACAGCUCUGGAGACACCAAGGUCAAUGCAGCAGGAGAGGGAGGAGAUGGUCCAAACUCCAGAGCCAAGAUUCCUCUGCAGGCCGUGACCUCCUUUGUAGCUUGUUGAGACUGACUGAAUCUUCUGUUCAUCUUGAAUGAAAGCUGGUACAGAAAAUUGGACACAUUCACCAGGCUGCAGAGAAGGCUCCUCAGUGUGUUAAGAAGCAGCUGUAUUACACAAAAGACACAUCCAAAAGCAUCCAAAUACAGGAACAGGCCCAGGCUGUGGAUCCCUAACACAGGAAUAAGACCACUCUAAGGGAGAGGAGAACUUCAGACAUGCCACUGUCUUUGUAAGUGUCUAGGUAUUAGGAGGAUUGCUGAGACUUGCCUAAUUUUUGACUCAUUGAAUAAAGAGCCAAAAUGACUAAGUACGAAGCUUAAGGAUUUAAUUCCCAGUCAGAUGCUUAAAACUGAGGUAUGACAGCACAGAAAUUCCUUGUGAAUUGAGACCUGAGACUUUUCUUGCAUCAUUCACAAAAUUCCUAAGAACUGCUUAUACUUAUAAAUUUCUAUAGGAAAUAAGAAUAUUAAUGUGUAAUGUUACAACUUAAGAACAUAAUUUUUUGUCAAAGAAAAUACACAUGAAAAUAUAUUUGGCACAUUUAUAAAUUUUGCAUCCUAUAAUGCUUUAUAUAUCUGGGAUAAUUUUGUAAGACAACUUGCCAUUAUAUUGCUGAGGGAAAAAAAACUUUCAAAACAUGAAACGUGCCACAUAUAAUAAGAUUUAGCAGUGAUUAGGAUAGGCCUGAUGGCUGAUGCCUAAAAGGAAUAUGAAUCUCCUUCCCUCCAAAAGGAUGGGUUUGGAGCUCAGUAUGAGCUCCACUGACAUUUCGUGGAGAAAAUGGGAGGUAAAUGAAGAGAUUCCAGUGAGCAAUUAUGGAACAUGGUUAUUUUAUAGACAUUAGGGAUCUUUUGGGAUUUAGGGUUAUUUUUUGGUACACAUUUCUGUUUAAAGAGGGUGGUGUGCUGAAUGGGUGGUGAAAGAUUGAUAGUUAAAAAUGUACUAUCACAAAUGAAGGACUGAGUAUGCUAGUUGUGUUUAAAUGUUCCAGGCCACUCUGUCUUAGCAGCUUGCAACCCCAGCAUCCUAAAACUAUAUCCUUAAGAAAGGAAAAAGUAAAUGGCCCCCUCCCCACCUGCCCAGGGAGGCAGGAAACCCAUUCUGGCUCUGCCCAGGGCCCCCUGUUCCAGAUGUUACUGGUCAUGCCAGUGCCCAGCUGUGUUCCCUCACCUCAUGACUGGAUUUUCUGGAUCUCACCGGACUUUCUAUAAAAUUACAUCUGUGUAUAAGAGGUGGUAGUACUCACUGCCUUUUGGAGAUUUCAGCAGAGAACGAAGAAUUAUUUAUUUAUUAAGCAAACACAGAAAAAUUUGAAACUUCUGGUUGCGACAAAACAGUUAUGUGGCUUGUGCACUUUUUUUAACAACAUAUAAACUUUUGUUGAUAUGUCUUCUGAUUACUGAAAUGUAGUUUCCUGCUCUGUUAUGUGAUAUCUUUAUCACAGGUCAUUAGUUAAAUCAAAAAGAACUUAAUCAGGAAGGAAGCAACACCAAGUUGUUCUAGCAGGAGAAUGUCCAUGAAUCUCAUUUUUUGUCUCCUGGGAAUGACUGCAGUCAUCUUAAGUAAUGAAAUUUUUAAGUUAAAGUAGUGCCAGUGCAAGUCAAAAAAGUAGGACAUGAAAUUUUUGAAGCUAUUCAGCUGUUGUUAUGGGGAGCUUGACAAUGUGAUUUACAGGAAAUUUCAACAUAAAUUCAAAUUAGAUUAGCUCUGUAGAAGAUAUCUGUAUUAUAGUGUGAAAAUGUACAGUGUAAUUCUUUGUGUAUGUCAGUGUUGUAUGACUGAAGCACGGAGCUUGGCACACUGUUCAUAAGGGUGUGGGGCUGUGUUUGAAGAGAGUUAUGGGAUCCCUAACAAAAACUCAGUUCCUCCACAUACUGCUUUAGGAGACCUGGGUUUAAAAGGAUGUGCUUCCAUGGAAGAUAUAUGGAUUAUUUUGAGAUUUGCAUUGAAGAGGCUCCUUAGGGACUGCUUAUAGAUGGGAAACCUCUGUGCUAUUACCUGGCAGGGAAGAGCUUGUAUAACAUUUGGGGGUGCUUUUGUUAAGGUGGACAUUGACACCACUGCUUCUUGGUUUGUUUUGUAGUUUGUAUUCUUUUGUUCCUGAAGAGAACCUGUUUAUCUGGUGGUUUUUGCCAUAUUUCUAAAAUCACUUUAUCAAGCUCCAUCCUGUUCUGUUAAUUUGGUAUUUUCCUGUUACUGCAGGAUGCCUAGCAAAGCCAAAUGUAUGGGUUGGUUUGUUGUGCUUUCUAUCAGAGCCAUCUGGGGACUUGCUGAAAAGGGAGCUGUUGUGUUAGAGGAGUUAUUGCCUGUAUUCGUGUUCUUGUGUGUGUAUGUAUGCCUCUCCAAGUGUCAGAGCAUUGUUUCAUUUCCACUGGAGAUAUUACCUGCUUUGAUUGCUAAGAAAACACCUAUUUAUCUUGUAUAGCAGCAAUUUUGUCUCAAAGAUGCAUGCAACACUUCUUCAAAAAGAAUGUCCUUCAAUUAAAAAAAAAAGUGGAAAUACUUAGAUUUUUUUUUCAAGAUGUUCACAAUGCAGUUUCUAUUAAUUCUGAGUUGUCCAAACUACUCAACAUACAGCUGUUGCAAAUUAACUUCCUUGUUAAGACGAAAUGAUAUGUGAAGCAUUGAAGUAAAUUGUAAAUGGAUCAGAUUAGGAUCUUUUGCUGUCAAGAAAAAUAAAAUAUCAGAAAUUACAUGAGAGCCUGCUUUUCUGUUGCUGUUUUGAGAAGGAUACAAAGAAUCAUAGUCGUAUCUGAGUUCUUAAUGUACUUUGCAUAUUCAACUUGUUUUCUCUGCUUUUCACUACUAUUGAUAAACAUGAUUAGGAUUUUAGGGGUUUUGUGAACAACCAAAAGUUGCUUUG